Molecule: ribosomal RNA, 497 nt
Filed under: uncultured bacterium
Lineage: Bacteria
Description: partial 16S ribosomal RNA
Rfam family: Bacterial small subunit ribosomal RNA
Source: RNAcentral
GAUGAACGCUGGCGGCGUGCCUAAUACAUGCAAGUCGAGCGAACGGACGAGAAGCUUGCUUCUCUGAUGUUAGCGGCGGACGGGUGAGUAACACGUGGAUAACCUACCUAUAAGACUGGGAUAACUUCGGGAAACCGGAGCUACUACCGGAUAAUAUUUUGAACCGCAUGGUUCAAAAGUGAAAGACGGUCUUGCUGUCACUUAUAGAUGGAUCCGCUCUGCAUUAGCUAGUUGGUAAGGUAGCGGCUUACCAAGGCAACGAUGCAUAGCCGACCUGAGGGGGUCAUCGGCCACCCUGGAAGUGGGACACGGUCCAGACUCCGACGGGAGGCAGCAGUAGGGAAUCCUCCGCAAUGGGCGAAAGCGUGACGGAGCAACGCCGCGGGAGGCAUGAAGGUCUUCGGAUCGGAAAACUCUGUUAUUAGGGAAGAACAUAUGUGUAAGUAACUGUGCACAUCUUGACGGUACCUAAUCAGAAAGCCACGGCUAACUACGUG